UUUUAUAUUUUGAUUAUUAGUUACACUAUUUAUCGCGCCUAAAAGUGUAGUGUAUACCAGUCUAGGAUCCGUUUUUCUUGUGGCGAUUUUUAAAAUGAAUUAUCUACGUAAAUAUUGAACCCACGGGGACGCCUCACCCCCUGCCUUCCCCAGAGGUCAGUCCAGCAAUGUCUGCCUCCACCCCCUCUGUGUUUCCAGACCCAGAGAGUGAAGCAAAUCCAGAAUCAACCACUACACUAGAUAAAUAGCCAUUACUGUGACGAUGGAAUGCUGUCAGCGAGCAGCAUGGAAGACGCAGAGUGAGUGGUGGUCAGGUGGUGGUGGAGAUAAGGAGUAUGUGGCCUGGAGAUUAACAAACAGAACACCAAUAAUCUUGUGACCUCCAUGUACCCUUCCUAAUGUCAAUAAAGUUGUCUUAUCAUGCCCAAAA
RNAcentral lists this long non-coding RNA (430 nucleotides) under Portunus trituberculatus (swimming crab). Its description in RNAcentral is "uncharacterized LOC123512370". The record is from RNAcentral. Lineage: Eukaryota; Metazoa; Arthropoda; Malacostraca; Decapoda; Portunidae.